AGCUCCAAUAGCGUAUAUUAAAGUUGUUGCAGUUAAAAAGCUCGUAGUUGGAUUUCUGAUAUUUCGUUUUGCCUAUCUUGGUCACCACGUGUGGCUGUUAGGUUUUAAAGCGAGUGUCAUCCUCGCCUAUUUAAAUUUGAUAUGUGCGUUCCUGACGGAUCGUUUUCGUGUCAAAUGGGCGUCAUUUACUGUGAAAAAAUUAGAGUGUUCAAAGCAAGUUUAUUUUAAUCUUGAAUACAUUAGCAUGGAAUAAUAAGAUAGGACUUUGGUACUAUUUUGUUGGUUUGCAUACCUUAGUAAUGAUUAACAGGAACAUAUUGGGGAUAUCUGUAUUUUUUAGUCAGAGGUGAAAUUCUUGGAUUUAAGAAAGACAAACUACAGCGAAAGCAUUUAUCAAGGA
This 400-nucleotide ribosomal RNA is filed under the name phytoplankton environmental sample. Its description in RNAcentral is "partial small subunit ribosomal RNA". It matches the Rfam family "Eukaryotic small subunit ribosomal RNA", at positions 587 to 964 of the family's 1831-position model. The record is from RNAcentral.